AUUGAACGCUGGCGGAAUGCUUUACACAUGCAAGUCGAACGGCAGCACGGACUUCGGUCUGGUGGCGAGUGGCGAACGGGUGAGUAAUGUAUCGGAACGUGCCCAGUCGUGGGGGAUAACGUAGUGAAAAUUACGCUAAUACCGCAUACGAUCUAGGGAUGAAAGCGGGGGAGCGCAAGACCUCGCGCGAUUGGAGCGGCCGAUAUCAGAUUAGGUAGUUGGUGGGGUAAAGGCCCACCAAGCCAACGAUCUGUAGCUGGUCUGAGAGGACGACCCGCCACACUGGAACUGAGACACGGUCCAGACUCCUACGGGAGGCAGCAGUGGGGAAUUUUGGACAAUGGGCGAAAGCCUGAUCCAGCCAUUCCGCGUGCAGGAUGAAGGCCCUCGGGUUGUAAACUGCUUUUGUACAGAACGAAAAGGUUUCUACUAAUACUAGGAGCUCAUGACGGUACUGUAAGAAUAAGCACCGGCUAACUACGUGCCAGCCGCCGCCGUAA
This 500-nucleotide ribosomal RNA is filed under the name uncultured bacterium. RNAcentral's name for it is "partial 16S ribosomal RNA". It matches the Rfam family "Bacterial small subunit ribosomal RNA", at positions 30 to 523 of the family's 1533-position model. The record is from RNAcentral.